Myodes glareolus (Bank vole) is the source of this 1043-nucleotide non-coding RNA. NCBI's taxonomy places the organism in Eukaryota, Metazoa, Chordata, Mammalia, Rodentia, Cricetidae. The record is from RefSeq and is a predicted model, not a curated record.
AACAGGAAGAAGACAAAAUGCAUUAAUAGGUUGAAUGGCAGAGAGAGUUGUAGUUCCCCCUCUUGAGCAGUGAGCGACUGCAUGAAGAGGAUGUCAGGAUCUUUGCUCCCCAGUUUGAGGAACAGAAAUGAAGCUGAUCUUUCAUUGUCAUCAGAUUUGGGAUCCUUCCUCUUCGCCUUAAAUAGUUGCCUCCAGCUGAGCAGCCACACGCCUGCUUCUCCGGUGCUGAGACAGGAUGGAAGACCAAGACUUAGCUCUGCUUCUGUUUUCCUUCAGAUUGACCACCACGUGACCUCAGUGUGGGCACAGGUCGUCUGCCUUAAUGUGGCCCUGUGGAAACCUGGUGCAAGGGCACAGAGCUGACCUUUGCAGACAUUUUGGACGUCAACCCUCUUCUCAGUACGCCUUUGUGAGGACUAAAGAAGCAGAGAACACCGUGUGCAUCAGUUUUAUUGACACCCAGGAACGACUGGUUUUUGCAGAGAAGUAAUAUAACUCCCGUCAAACUAGGUGUCUGAUAGGUGCUAAUUUGACAUGGCAACGGGAUAAAAGUUGGGCCCAGGCUGUCUCCAACCUCACUGCAUUGGAAUGCUGUCUACUUAGCAUAGGAGUCAAACAUCUCCCUGGCAAUAGAUUGCCUUCCACUCACAGGCCUACUAAGUAAAUAGAAAAGUAAUUAACAGUGUGCUGGGGUAGAAGCAUCAGAUGGAAUUUCAUCAAGGCAGGAAGGACACAGCGAAUCAUGAAGUCCUGUGGUGUCCACCGUGGGCUGGAUCUCUUGUGCUGUCUCUAAGACGGGCAUGUCACUUCUGCCUGUCUCCAAGAAGAGAAAUUCCUGAAUCUUUAAUUAUAUUUCACUUUGAUCAAGGGAAACGAAACAGAAAAGUCAGAAAGUACCCAAAGUUGGUCCAAAAAUAAUCUUUUUCAUUUUCUGGUGCACGAUGUUGGUCUUGAGUUCUAUGCAUGCCUUCCCUUUCCCUUGGCUGUGUGUUUUCUGUUUUUAUUUUUCCUCAACUAUUAAAUAUCUUCAUUUUGAAAAGUGA